Molecule: ribosomal RNA, 301 nt
Filed under: uncultured bacterium
Lineage: Bacteria
Description: partial 16S ribosomal RNA
Rfam family: Bacterial small subunit ribosomal RNA
Source: RNAcentral
CAGCAGCCACGGUAAUACGAAGGGGGCUAGCGUUGUUCGGAAUUACUGGGCGUAAAGGGCGCGUAGGCGGCCAUUCAAGUUAGAUGUGAAAGCCCUGGGCUCAACCUAGGAAUUGCAUUUGAUACUGUUUGGCUUGAGUUCGGGAGAGGUGAGUGGAAUUCCCAGUGUAGAGGUGAAAUGCGUAGAGAUGUGGAGGAAUACCGAUGGCGAAGGCAGCCCCCUGGGCCAAUACUGACGCUCAUGCACGAAAGCGUGGGGAGCAAACAGGAUUAGAUACCCGAGUAGUCCCUGUCUCUUAUAC